This 452-nucleotide ribosomal RNA is filed under the name uncultured bacterium. RNAcentral's name for it is "bacterial SSU rRNA". It matches the Rfam family "Bacterial small subunit ribosomal RNA", at positions 29 to 468 of the family's 1533-position model. The record is from RNAcentral.
AACGAACGCUGGCGGCGUGCCUAACACAUGCAAGUCGUGCGAGAAAGUUCCUUCGGGAGCGAGUAAAGCGGCGCACGGGUGAGUAACACGUAGGUAACCUGCCCCCCAGUCUGGAACAACUAGAGGAAACUCUAGCUAAUGCCGGAUGAGACCACGAUCCCUUCGGGGGUUGCGGCCAAAGAUGGCCUCUACUUGUAAGCUAUCGCUGAGGGAUGGGCCUGCGGGCCAUUAGCUUGUUGGUGAGGUAACGGCUCACCAAGGCCGUGAUGGCUAGCUGGUCUGAGAGGAUGACCAGCCACACUGGGACUGAGACACGGCCCAGACUCCUACGGGAGGCAGCAGUGGGGAAUAUUGCGCAAUGGGCGAAAGCCUGACGCAGCGACGCCGCGUGGGUGAUGAAGGCCUGGUCGUAAGCCCUGUCGCAGGGAAGAAGUAAGCAUCGGUAUAAUACG